This is a non-coding RNA of Salvia hispanica, 472 nucleotides long. Lineage: Eukaryota; Viridiplantae; Streptophyta; Magnoliopsida; Lamiales; Lamiaceae. The record is from RefSeq and is a predicted model, not a curated record.
GACAAACCUGCUAGCUGCUGCUCUCUUGACAGAAAAUUAUACUUGUGGAAUGCAAAUACUUAUAAAGUUGAAUUAGUAUCAGAAGCGAGCGAGCCGACUAUCUUGGUAGUGUAAACUGGUCUGAAAAUGGAGAAGUUGUAGCAGCGGGGUAUAGUUGCUCUAAAAUUCAUCUCUAUGAUGCUGAGUCGCUCCAUCUAGUGAGGUUGUUAGAGGGGCAGCGUGGACGUGUGGGAUAGCGUGGAAUGGUCACACACUAACUUGUGGAAGCUCUAGUGGAGCUAUCAUCAACCAUGAUGUGAGAGUGAGGAACAGUCAAGUGUGCCAUGUGAAAGUGCACAAGGGUGAAGUCUCUGGUUUGAAAUGGUCGGCCGCAGGGAGCAUGCUAGCCAGUGGUGCAAAUGAUACUCGAGUCUACUUGUGGAACGCAUGCAAGAUGAGCCCAAACCAUCACGUUUACAGAUUCAAUCAUCAU